Equus caballus (horse) is the source of this 826-nucleotide long non-coding RNA. Lineage: Eukaryota; Metazoa; Chordata; Mammalia; Perissodactyla; Equidae. The record is from Ensembl.
GUCCUCAGAAAACUACCCCAGGGAUUCUGUCCAGGCUUAAUAGAUUCAUUGAAAUGGGAGAGGCAUGGCGUCCUGUGUUUCUCCACCUCGCUCUGAACUGGAAUGGGGGCCUUUGGUUGUUGGCAUCUUCCUUGCAGCAUUUCAGAUGUAUUUGACCUAAAAGCAUGAGCUCAUCACAUAUGAUUACUUACGAAUAGGUGUUUCCGUUUUGAGAAGAGAUAAAAAGUUUCCUGGCUUUUAUUCACUUCUCCGUGGAGCCUGCCCUGGUGGCCAGGCCCUCUCGGCCUGCUCCCUUCUUGAAUGACUGGGAGCACUCAAGGAACCAAGGCAGAACAAUGCCAGGUGGCCAAAUGGCAGAACCGGUCCAAACUGGAGAGGUCCAAGAUGGCGAUGGGGUGCCGUGUGCAAAAGGAAACGUGUGCAAAAGCUUCCCUCUGUUCCCUGACUCGAGAAAGAAAGGCUCGGAAGCUGGUCCAUGUGCUGCAGAAGGUUCUCACCACCUUCAGGCUGCGACGUCUGCCCUGGUCACUGGCUCCCUUCCUGGCAGAUGGCGAGCUCCACCGCUCAGAGGACCUGCUGGCGGCUGAGUCUUAGCAGAGUGUGGGUCCUCAACGCCUUCCCUGCCUCGUCUCCCUGAAGGAGAAGCUCUUGCUAAAGGAUUUUGCUGCCUCCCUUGGCAUUCGGUGCCCCCUUGAUUAUUUUCAAGUCAAGCACUUUUUCAGCUGUGAGCGCGUAUGCAGAUCAUUCUAAACAGAAGCCUGUGAUAUGCUUUAUAUUCAUGGAAACUUCAGAGCAAACGUUUAAAAGCCAAACCAUCUUGGAGUAA